RNAcentral lists this ribosomal RNA (468 nucleotides) under uncultured bacterium. RNAcentral describes it as "partial 16S ribosomal RNA". It matches the Rfam family "Bacterial small subunit ribosomal RNA", at positions 28 to 507 of the family's 1533-position model. The record is from RNAcentral.
GACGAACGCUGGCGGCGUGCUUAACACAUGCAAGUCGAACGGAAAGGCCCUGCUUUUGUGGGGUGCUCGAGUGGCGAACGGGUGAGUAACACGUGAGUAACCUGCCCUUGACCUUGGGAUAACUUCAGGAAACUGGGGCUAAUACCGGAUCGGCGCUCCUGCUGCAUGGUGGGGGUUGGAAAGUUUCGGCGGUUGGGGAUGGACUCGCGGCUUAUCAGCUCGUUGGUGGGGUAGUGGCUUACCAAGGCUUUGACGGGUAGCCGGCCUGAGAGGGUGACCGGCCACAUUGGAACUGAGAUACGGCCCAGACUCCUACGGGAGGCAGCAGUGGGGAAUAUUGCACAAUGGGCUGAAGCCUGAUGCAGCAACGCCGCGUGCGGGAUGACGGCCUUCGGGUUGUAAACCGCUUUCGCCUGUGACGAAGCGUGAGUGACGGUAAUGGGUAAAGAAGCACCGGCUAACUACGUG